Molecule: transfer RNA, 66 nt
Filed under: Cardiocephaloides medioconiger
Lineage: Eukaryota; Metazoa; Platyhelminthes; Trematoda; Diplostomida; Strigeidae
Description: tRNA-Ser
Source: RNAcentral
GCGAGUUAGGAUUCCCGGGAUUGAUUUGAAGUCAGUUUGUAUUAUGUUUAAUUCAUAAAUCUCGUU